GAGCCCCAGGAGGCAGCUAGGCAUGGUGUGUCUGGAAGCCUACGCCCUGACAAGUAUAAAGGGCUAAGAGGAAGUGUGAGCUGAAACCAUCUACGCAACAGGGAGCAUCCAAGCAAUCCUUUUUACAGGGUCAGCAAAAGGCACCCACAUAGCCAGGAUCUAAAGAGAAAAACAGAUUCCAUGCUGUCUUUCUGCCAUGGGCUCCACGCUCUUCAGUUACCUGGCCUUUUCUCUCCUGGUGGCAGGUCCAGUGGACCCUAAAAUUAUCCAGAAACCAAAACAUCUGGUGGCAGUCACGGGGAGCGAAAGAACCCUGAUAUGCGAACAGUAUCUAGGCCACAAUGCUAUGUAUUGGUAUAGGCAAAGUGCUAAGAAGUCCAUAGAGCUCAUGUUUUCCUAUAACUAUCAAAACCUUGCUGACAAUCAGACUGUCCCAAGUCGUUUCCAACCUCACAAUUCACAGAAAUCCUACUUAGACCUUCAGAUCACAGCCCUACAGCCUGACGACGCGGCUACAUACUUCUGUGCCAGUAGCCAAGCAAACACCGGGCAGCUGUUCUUUGGAGAAGGGUCAAAGCUGACAGUGCUGGAGGAUCUGAGAAAGGUGACUCCACCCAAGGUCUCCUUGUUUGAGCCAUCAAAAGCAGAGAUCUCAGACAAACAAAAGGCUACCCUCGUGUGCUUAGCCAGGGGCUUCUUCCCUGACCACGUGGAGCUCAGCUGGUGGGUUAAUGGGAAGAAGAUCGACAAUGGGGUCAGCACAGACUCUGAAGCCUACAAGGAGAGCAAUGGAGUCACCUACUGCCUGAGCAGCCGCCUGAGGGUUUCUGCUACCUUCUGGCACAAUCCUCGCAAUCACUUCCGCUGCCAAGUGCACUUCUAUGGGCUUACAGAGGAAGACAAUUGGCCAGAAGGCUCACCCAAACCUGUCACACAGAACGUUAGUGCAGAGACCUGGGGCAAAGCAGAGUGUGGAAUCACCUCAGUAUCUUAUCAUCAGGGGGUUCUGUCUGCCACCAUCCUCUAUGAGAUCCUCCUGGGGAAGGCCACCCUAUAUGCUGUGCUGGUCAGUGCCCUGGUGCUGAUGGCCAUGGUCAAGAAAAAAAAUUCCUGAGACAAACUCUUACCCAUUCUGAGCUAUUCAUUGCCCUGGCCAUAGAUUUCCCUGUACCUUCUCCAAUCCUUGUUCCUAAGGACUUGUCUCUUUUUCCUCCAUGGAAAUCCAUCCUUCCUCAUUGACCCUUUGGCUCUGAAACAGACUAAAUCAAUAAAAAUAUUGAGUUUGGCCUGG
This is a non-coding RNA of Grammomys surdaster, 1291 nucleotides long. The record is from the annotation of a RefSeq genome assembly. Lineage: Eukaryota; Metazoa; Chordata; Mammalia; Rodentia; Muridae.